UACAGAGGUUGCAAGCGUUGUUCGGAUUUAUUGGGUGUAAAGGGUGUGUAGGUGGUUCGGUAAGUCAGAUGUGAAAUCCUGGAGCUUAACUCCAGAACUGCAUUUGAUACUGCCAAGCUAGAGUAUGUUAGGGGAAAGGGGAAUUCUCGGUGUAAAGGUGAAAUUUUCAGAUAUCGAGAGGAACACCAGUGGCGAAGGCGCCUUUCUGGGACAAUACUGACACUGAAACACGAAAGCUAGGGGAGCAAACGGGAUUAGAUACCCGUGUAGU
This 271-nucleotide ribosomal RNA is filed under the name uncultured bacterium. RNAcentral's name for it is "partial 16S ribosomal RNA". It matches the Rfam family "Bacterial small subunit ribosomal RNA", at positions 524 to 794 of the family's 1533-position model. The record is from RNAcentral.